Molecule: long non-coding RNA, 156 nt
Organism: Etheostoma spectabile (orangethroat darter)
Lineage: Eukaryota; Metazoa; Chordata; Actinopteri; Perciformes; Percidae
Exons: 3
Source: RefSeq, a predicted model, not a curated record
AUGAAUAAAGCUUUGGUGCUUAUGAUUCAGUAAAAUGAACUGAAUGAUUGAAAUUUACCAAUCAAACGUUGCACAGCAUGUCCAUAUUGACAAAAGUCUUGAACUUUUUUGUUUUAAUGCUUAUUAUGUAACAUGUCAGAUGUCACAUAAGUUACA